AUGAAUUGUCAAGGGGGGGUUGUUGCUGGCCUCUCAUCUGAUAAGCAUGUGCACGCCCCCUUUUUACAUCCAUCCACAACCUGUGCACCCUCUGUAGUUCCAAAGUGGGAGAGCCCGUAAGGCUUUCACAAUCUGGCACUAUGUCUCUUUACAAACGUUUUAUGUAUAGAGUGUCGGCUCAGCGUAUAACAAACGCAGAAAUAUAAAA
This 208-nucleotide unclassified non-coding RNA is filed under the name soil metagenome. RNAcentral's name for it is "partial internal transcribed spacer 1". The record is from RNAcentral.